Molecule: ribosomal RNA, 253 nt
Filed under: uncultured bacterium
Lineage: Bacteria
Description: partial 16S ribosomal RNA
Rfam family: Bacterial small subunit ribosomal RNA
Source: RNAcentral
UACAGGGGGUGCAAACGUUGCUCGGAAUUAUUGGGCGUAAAGCGCGCGUAGGCGGCUACUUAAGUCGGAUGUGAAAGCCCCUGGCUCAACUGGGGAAGUGCACCCGAAACUGAGUGGCUUGAGUGCGAAAGAGGGUCGCGGAAUUCCCGGUGUAGAGGUGAAAUUCGUAGAUAUCGGGAGGAACACCGGUGGCGAAGGCGGCGACCUGGGUCGACACUGACGCUGAGGAGCGAAAGCCAGGGGAGCAAACGGG